This 2650-nucleotide unclassified non-coding RNA is filed under the name Leguminivora glycinivorella. RNAcentral describes it as "bTB/POZ domain-containing protein Tiwaz, transcript variant X1". Lineage: Eukaryota; Metazoa; Arthropoda; Insecta; Lepidoptera; Tortricidae. The record is from RNAcentral.
GGAUUCAACAAUUAAAAUCCGUGACUGUACAGGCAUAAACCAUUAACAAACGUCAUCAUUAAAAGCCUUCAUCCAUACAAACAUUAAUAAUACAACAAACAUACAAACAUUUAGCUUCAGAAGUCAACUGAAGAUAUUCCAACUAAAUAUGUACUUAUUUUUACGACUAUUAGGUUCUAACCAUUAUUCGCUUAGAAAGUGCCGAAGUGUGUCGACGCAGCAUUACUACUGGUUCCACUGUUUUAAAUAGACGUCUAUAUACUUGCUGUAUUUGAUUAUACUUAAAUACUGAGAACUAUUAAAUGAAAGCUUGAGCGGGUAGAGCGACGAGCUAAAUCUAAAGCGAUUGAUAAUAAAAAGUAGUUACCCAUUGAAAUGGUCUGGGCAGGUACUUGUAAUUCUACCAUUAACCGACUGUGAAAAUCAAGUACCCCCAUUAACACAACGAAUGUUUUAUGUCCUAAGUAGGCUUUCCUUAUAGGUUUUAGAUGUUAGGUGGUAAAAAUCAGUGGUAGCGCGACUAAUUUAAACAUUAAUUAUUUUCUGUCAAGUGACGUCGCCGGCGUGCAAAAUUGAUCCAAGAUUUAGAUUUUAGAAGGUGUUGUUUUAACUUUUGAUUUGUUCUCCAGCCGAAGAUGCUACCCGUGAAGCCGGGCAGCCCCGCGCCCGACGGCAGCUCCAUGGACAAGAAGCCGAUCGCCGGGAUCCCGCGCGUGGCGCCUACCACCAAGUUCAACGCGCCCGUGCACAUCGACGUCGGCGGCACCAUCUACACCUCCUCACUAGAGACUCUUACCGCCUACCCCGAGUCCCGCCUCGGGAAGAUGUUCAACGGCACCAUCCCCAUAGUCUUGGACACGCUGAAACAGCACUACUUCAUCGACCGCGACGGCGGCAUGUUCCGGCACAUCCUCAACUUUCUGCGCAACAAGAAGCUGCUGCUGCCUGAUGACUUCCCUAACCUGGACUUGCUGCUGCACGAAGCUUUGUACUUCGAGUUAGACCAUAUGGUGUUCGUUCUGACGAAGAUGAAGAACAACAAAGAAGGCGUAAAGCAGGACCGCGUGUGGCUGAGCGAAGCCACGGAGCGGCUCAAGCAGGAGUCGGAGCUGCUCACGCAGGAGCGCGAGCGGCUGCAGCAGCGGUGGUCGUGAACUGAGGUUAGCUGUACAGAUACUGAUAUGAAAAGGCGACGCACUACGUAAUUGUUGUAGUACGAGAUACGAGAUAAGAAAACGUGCUUCAAACUGGCGAUUAAGGAUGCCUCACGAUAGAUCGGAAUGGGACCGGGUCGGAGCUUCAGUAGUAAUUCUCUCUGAAGAAAACGCAGCGCGGAAGCGCUGAAGACUUAUCGUGAGAUAUUCUAUAGGCGAUCAAAUACUUCAUUAUUAUGAAGAUAACUUGACCCAAGAAAAUUUGAAGUGAAAAAUAAUACCGCAACUUAUAUGUUGUCAUAUACAUAGGUAAUUAGGUACAUCACCUCUCGGGUAUUGACUCGUAUCCAUUUGUAAUGACACACUGCAAGUAGAUCCGCUUCAAUAGAAGCUUUAAAUGUUUGGAAGGACAGAGUGGACAAACACCUACUUAUGAUUUAUGAUCGGUAGCGUAAUAUGUAAAAAAUAAACAAUUUUUCUGUCCAUAUAUAUACUUUGUCUACAGAGACAUAUUUUUCUACAUUUAUUUUAUAAAACUACAUAACUACCUACCUAAAUCGUACUAACGUAAACAGUAGGUACGUACCAUUACUACGAGUCACUAACUGUGUCAACUCAACAAUGACAUUUACUCUAACGCCUACGUGACUUAGGGCCGGUUGCACCAAACCGUCUGUCACCGUUAAAGCGUUCGUAAUUUUUUUAUUGUAUUGGAAGUUCCAUAGACGUGUGCUGCGUGACGAUGAUGUGUCUGUUAAAUGUGGUUGAUGCAACUGGCCCUUACUCUCUAUCUCUCUAAGAAUAUCGGUCAUACUGAAAUAUUAAUUCAGAAUGUGUGUUACGUAGAUGCUAGCGUAUAUAAUAGUAAUGAGUUGAUGACAAUGUCAGUGAGUGGUAAGGACAUGAGUCCCGUGGACAAGUGGCCAGUCAUUCAUGCUCCGAACUGUAGGUAUCGUAGUUAUCUCUCAUUUCCUCUUUCGUAUUCGUGUAACAAAGACAUAGCUACGAUACGCUAGGAAGCCCGAAAGACUGGCCUCUUGUCUACACACCCAGGUGUUGAGGAAGACUGACGCAACGUUAGUGACCUCACAUACCGUUCUUGCCACGAGCGCUGUGGUGCUAAGUAUAAUAAGCACUUUUAUAUAAACUGGCAUAAUUACUGGUACUUUUGGUUGCGGCCUCACUUAAAAUGUAAAAAAGUCUUUAUUUACCUACUUAAUUUUAAUAAUAAUUUCAAGGAUUAAAUAUCAGCCCCAGAGGGAAGUCUAGCUGCUAAACUUAUAAAACAUAUCCAUUAAAAUACUCAGUCUCACGAUAAUUAUUUUAUUUUCCAUACACGUCAUUUAACUAUCCAAAGCAAACCUUGUGACUGAACAUAAUACCAAACAUAAUUCGAGAAAUGCGCAUUCACUUUCGAUUUCCAAAAAAAAUGUAUAACAAAAGAUUGAGCAUUGUCAACGAGUUUGUUACAUAUCGUAUUCAGACAUUAUUUUGUU